UCCAGACUCCUACGGGAGGCAGCAGCGGGGAAUAUUGCACAAUGGGGGAAACCCUGAUGCAGCGACGCCGCGUGAGCGAAGAAGUACCUCGGUAUGUAAAGCUCUCUCAGCAGGGAAGAAGAUGACGGUACCUGACCAAGAAGCUCCGGCUAAAUACGUGCCAGCAGCCGCGGUAAUACGUAUGGAGCAAGCGUUAUCCGGAUUUACUGGGUGUAAAGGGAGCGUAGACGGCGAUGCAAGUCUGAAGUGAAAGGCGGGGGCCCAACCCCCGGACUGCUUUGGAAACUGUAUGGCUGGAGUGCAGGAGAGGUAAGUGGAAUUCCUAGUGUAGCGGUGAAAUGCGUAGAUAUUAGGAGGAACACCGGCGGCGAAGGCGGCCUGCUGGACCGUAACUGACGUUGAGGCUCGAAAGCGUGGGGAGCAAACAGGAUUAGAUACCCCUGUA
Molecule: ribosomal RNA, 445 nt
Filed under: uncultured bacterium
Lineage: Bacteria
Description: partial 16S ribosomal RNA
Rfam family: Bacterial small subunit ribosomal RNA
Source: RNAcentral